UUGCUCCCGGAUGUUAGCGGCGGACGGGUGAGUAACACGUGGGUAACCUGCCUGUAAGACUGGGAUAACUCCGGGAAACCGGAGCUAAUACCGGAUAGUUCCUUGAACCGCAUGGUUCAAGGAUGAAAGACGGUUUCGGCUGUCACUUACAGAUGGACCCGCGGCGCAUUAGCUAGUUGGUGAGGUAACGGCUCACCAAGGCGACGAUGCGUAGCCGACCUGAGAGGGUGAUCGGCCACACUGGGACUGAGACACGGCCCAGACUCCUACGGGAGGCAGCAGUAGGGAAUCUUCCGCAAUGGACGAAAGUCUGACGGAGCAACGCCGCGUGAGUGAUGAAGGUUUUCGGAUCGUAAAGCUCUGUUGUUAGGGAAGAACAAGUGCAAGAGUAACUGCUUGCACCUUGACGGUACCUAACCAGAAAGCCACGGCUAACUACGUGCCAGCAGCCGCGGUAAUACGUAGGUGGCAAGCGUUGUCCGGAAUUAUUGGGCGUAAAGGGCUCGCAGGCGGUUUCUUAAGUCUGAUGUGAAAGCCCCCGGCUCAACCGGGGAGGGUCAUUGGAAACUGGGAAACUUGAGUGCAGAAGAGGAGAGUGGAAUUCCACGUGUAGCGGUGAAAUGCGUAGAGAUGUGGAGGAACAAGGCGACUCUCUGGUCUGUAACUGACGCUGAGGAGCGAAAGCGUGGGGAGCGAACAGGAUUAGAUACCCUGGUAGUCCACGCCGUAAACGAUGAGUGCUAAGUGUUAGGGGGUUUCCGCCCCUUAGUGCUGCAGCUAACGCAUUAAGCACUCCGCCUGGGGAGUACGGUCGCAAGACUGAAACUCAAAGGAAUUGACGGGGGCCCGCACAAGCGGUGGAGCAUGUGGUUUAAUUCGAAGCAACGCGAAGAACCUUACCAGGUCUUGACAUCCUCUGACAACCCUAGAGAUAGGGCUUUCCCUUCGGGGACAGAGUGACAGGUGGUGCAUGGUUGUCGUCAGCUCGUGUCGUGAGAUGUUGGGUUAAGUCCCGCAACGAGCGCAACCCUUGAUCUUAGUUGCCAGCAUUCAGUUGGGCACUCUAAGGUGACUGCCGGUGACAAACCGGAGGAAGGUGGGGAUGACGUCAAAUCAUCAUGCCCCUUAUGACCUGGGCUACACACGUGCUACAAUGGACAGAACAAAGGGCUGCGAGACCGCAAGGUUUAGCCAAUCCCACAAAUCUGUUCUCAGUUCGGAUCGCAGUCUGCAACUCGACUGCGUGAAGCUGGAAUCGCUAGUAAUCGCGGAUCAGCAUG
RNAcentral lists this ribosomal RNA (1280 nucleotides) under Bacillus sp. (in: firmicutes). RNAcentral's name for it is "bacterial SSU rRNA". It matches the Rfam family "Bacterial small subunit ribosomal RNA", at positions 79 to 1356 of the family's 1533-position model. The record is from RNAcentral. Lineage: Bacteria; Bacillati; Bacillota; Bacilli; Caryophanales; Bacillaceae.